Dermochelys coriacea (leatherback sea turtle) is the source of this 246-nucleotide long non-coding RNA. RefSeq lists it as uncharacterized. The record is from RefSeq and is a predicted model, not a curated record. Lineage: Eukaryota; Metazoa; Chordata; Testudines; Dermochelyidae. The transcript is spliced from 4 exons.
AAUGUUGCAUAUAUUCUCUUUUAGGGCAUGACUACACUUGCAGUUGUAGAGCGCUGGGAGUUAAACCAGACUUCGGAGACUGCAGCAGGGAAAACGCUGCCGAGUGUUUACACUCUCAGCUGGAAGCGCGCUGGUGUGGCCACACGAGCAGCUCUUGCAACACCACAAAGAGCAGUGCAUUGGGAUAGCUAUCCCAGCAUGCAAGUGGCUGCAACCUACUUUUCAAAUGCAGAGGGUGGGGUGGAG